AUUGAACGCUGGCGGCAUGCCUUACACAUGCAAGUCGAACGGCAGCACGGGAGCAAUCCUGGUGGCGAGUGGCGAACGGGUGAGUAAUAUAUCGGAACGUGCCCAGUCGUGGGGAUAACGUAGCGAAAGCUACGCUAAUACCGCAUACGAUCUAUGGAUGAAAGCGGGGGAUCGCAAGACCUCGCGCGAUUGGAGCGGCCGAUAUCAGAUUAGGUAGUUGGUGAGGUAAAGGCUCACCAAGCCGACGAUCUGUAGCUGGUCUGAGAGGACGACCAGCCACACUGGGACUGAGACACGGCCCAGACUCCUACGGGAGCAGCAGUGGGGAAUUUUUGGACAAUGGCGCAAGCCUGAUCCAGCAAUGCCGCGUGCAGGAUGUAGG
This 382-nucleotide ribosomal RNA is filed under the name uncultured bacterium. RNAcentral describes it as "bacterial SSU rRNA". It matches the Rfam family "Bacterial small subunit ribosomal RNA", at positions 30 to 414 of the family's 1533-position model. The record is from RNAcentral.